AGUGUAUAUAGUAAGACAAGAUGUCAGUGGAUGGGUGUAAUUGUGGGACAGAGUGUAUAUCGUAGGCAGAGGGUGUUAAUAGAAGAAACCAUAACUGUGGUGUAUAUCAGAUCUGUCCAACACCUACAAAUCCCAGUAUCAUCCCCAUUAUGUCAUUAUGGGAUAAAUAGCUUUGUUAAAAAAGUGUGUGUUGGUCUCUUAGUGUAAUAUAUAGUAACUAUUAGCAACUCAGUAUUAUACACAAUGCACAGGCUCCUGUAAUCUCAAUGUGAACGAUUAAAUAUAAUGUACUUUCUGAAUAACAUUACACAAGAAGGUAAAAAUAACACCUAUGAUAUCAAUACAAUUAUAAAUUUAUUUUAUUCACACACACCAUCCCUAGCUUGUAUUCUUAUAUCCUUUUGCCAUUCUAUAUAACUGUAAUGUGUCAGUUACCAGCCAUACUGCAGCCCUGACAUCACAAUGCAGGCUAUGACUUCACAAUGCACAGUCAUGUGACCUCAUCCUGUAUCCUGACCAGUAGCAACAACACAAUCAUCAGUUGGAGCAGGAGAGAGAACUAGACAGUCAUGACUGGUUUGAUCUUCAACACAACACUUUUUUAUCUAAUUUUAAUCUAUUUUAUCAUUUUCACCGUGGGCUUCCCAGUUGGGAGACUGGAUGGUAAUAUAUCCUGAUUUUAUACUUAUUCCUAUAACUGCUAUUUAUAUACUGUAAUGUUAAUUAUGUUUAUUCUUUAUAGGACCCAAUGAUCAGGAGGCAGAGAUUAUUACAACAACACAACAUAAGGAGCUAACAGAUUGGCAUCCCAUCCAGAUUGCUGGCAGCAUCCGUGUUUUUGGAAUUGAUAUCAAUAUUAAUAUCCCUGUUGGACUACUAAUCCGUGUCGCUGGUGGAUGCUUUGGCUUACUCAUAAUCGCAGUCGUGGCGUUAUACAUUCGAUACUGCAACAAGCAUGUAAGAGAUUUAAGAGAAGCCGAGGAAGAGCUGCGCUGCCUCCAAGUUGUUGUACAAGGUGGCAAAAUACAGAGGCCACAAGAUGACACAAAGGAAAAGGAUGAUACUCCUACUAAAGAAAUGGAAAAUCAGGGGAAGGAAGUAUCUGUGCCUACCAUUAAAGCUGAACCCCCGAAUUAGAUUUGUGCUGAUACAGAGAAAGAGAUAACAUAAAGUGUCAAGGAAAUCAUAAAACCAGAAUUGGUAGAGGAAAUAAAUGAACAUGAGGAAACAGAAGAAAUGAGAACUGAUAAUAAGAACCAAGAAGCUCAGAAAGCAAAUAAGACCAAACAAACACAAGGGAAGAAGAAGAGAAGAAACAGGAAACCCAAAAACUAAAGAGAAAAAGAAUCAUAUGGACCUGGGGGAAUAAAAGCCAAACGUUGAAAGAGCCGCCAUUCACAAUACAGAAUGGAAUCACAGCAGCCCUUUGCUGAGCAACUUCCAGACUAUUUCUAACCCUAUGGAUUAUGGACACAUGAUGUUUGGCUGCUGUGUUGCUCUUACUGAAUUAAAGGCAGCGAGUCACAAUUAUAUCGCUAUAGAAUUACCACCAAGUGGUGAAAAAGUCUUCUCCAAGCAACGUCAGCUUGAAGCAACGUCAGUGUCUAUCUUUGCUAUUACGUGCCAAGAGGAUUUAUGUUCCACAGUCCCCCCAGAUAGAGCUCAGCGGAUAUCAGAGACUAAAGUGGCUCGCUCUACACCCCUAACCACA
Molecule: long non-coding RNA, 1711 nt
Organism: Xenopus laevis (African clawed frog)
Lineage: Eukaryota; Metazoa; Chordata; Amphibia; Anura; Pipidae
Exons: 6
Source: RefSeq, a predicted model, not a curated record